GGGCGAUAAAAAAAAGAGUCGGUCAAAAAAUUGGAAAAAAACAAAAAACAGGGAAAAGAGGGCACCAGGGCAUCGAGCCCAGGUAUGUUCGUUCAUGACACAGUUUGUUAUUCUUUUUCUAUACAUUAAGUUUCUCGCGUUUUAAUCUGGAAAAAUAAUAAAACGGAGCACACAAGGAAUCGAACCCAAGCCCAAGGAGCUGAGCGGGUUGUGAUUCGAUAUGGCCUCGUUAUUGUUUUGUCUACUCGAACUCGAACCUGAGACUUGGAGAACCAUCUCACCGUGCCUUACCACUGAG
RNAcentral lists this long non-coding RNA (298 nucleotides) under Setaria viridis. Its description in RNAcentral is "long non-coding RNA (SVIR_LNC002213)". Lineage: Eukaryota; Viridiplantae; Streptophyta; Magnoliopsida; Poales; Poaceae. The record is from RNAcentral.